UUGGAGGGCAAGUCUGGUGCCAGCAGCCGCGGUAAUUCCAGCUCCAAUAGCGUAUAUUAAAGUUGUUGUGGUUAAAAAGCUCGUAGUAGAAGCUCGGGCUCCGGCCGACCGGUCCGCCUCACCGCGUGCACUGGUUCGGCCGGGCCUUCACCUUCUGCGGAACCGCAUCUCCUUCACUGGGGGUGUCGGGGAAACAGGACGUUUACUGUGAAAAAAUUGAGUGCUCCAGGCAGGCCUAUGCUCGAAUAGAUUAGCAUGGAAUAAUGGAAUAGG
This 273-nucleotide ribosomal RNA is filed under the name uncultured Ascomycota. RNAcentral's name for it is "partial 18S ribosomal RNA". It matches the Rfam family "Eukaryotic small subunit ribosomal RNA", at positions 548 to 826 of the family's 1831-position model. The record is from RNAcentral. Lineage: Eukaryota; Fungi; Ascomycota.